GCUGGGCACCGUGUCACAUGCCUGUAGUCCCAGCUACUUGGGAAGCUGAGGUGGGAGGAUCACUUGAGACUAGGAGUUGGAGGUUGCAGUGAGCUGUGAUUGCACCACUGAACAGCCACUGCACUCCAACCUCAGCAACAUAGUAAGACUCCAUCUCUU
Molecule: unclassified non-coding RNA, 159 nt
Organism: Macaca fascicularis (crab-eating macaque)
Lineage: Eukaryota; Metazoa; Chordata; Mammalia; Primates; Cercopithecidae
Rfam family: Metazoan signal recognition particle RNA
About the family: The signal recognition particle (SRP) is a universally conserved ribonucleoprotein. It is involved in the co-translational targeting of proteins to membranes. The eukaryotic SRP consists of a 300-nucleotide 7S RNA and six proteins: SRPs 72, 68, 54, 19, 14, and 9.
Source: Ensembl